GACGAACGCUGGCGGCGUGCCUAACACAUGCAAGUCGAACGGAAAGGCCCUUUUGGGGGUACCCGCACGGCAAACUGGUGAGUACCACGGGGGUAAUCUCCCCUUGAUUUCCGGAUUACUUCAGGGAACUGGCGAUAAUACAGGAUAGCAAUCCCUGCAGCAUGGUGGGGGUUGGAAAGUUUCGGCGGUUUGGGUUCGACUGGAGGCUUAUCAGCUUGUUGGUCGGGUAGUGGGCUACGAAGGCUUUGACGGGCAGCCGGCCUUAGAGAGAGAUCGGCGACAUUAGGACUGAGGGAGGGACCAGACUCCUACGGGAGGCAACGGAGGGGAGUAGUGCACAAUGAGCGCGAGCCUGAUGCGACGACGCCGCGAGCGGGAGGACGGGCUUCGGGUGGUAAACCGCUUUCAGCAGGGGAAAAGCACAUGGUGACGGUACCUGCAGAAAAAGCGACGGCUAACUACGUG
RNAcentral lists this ribosomal RNA (465 nucleotides) under uncultured bacterium. RNAcentral describes it as "partial 16S ribosomal RNA". It matches the Rfam family "Bacterial small subunit ribosomal RNA", at positions 28 to 507 of the family's 1533-position model. The record is from RNAcentral.